RNAcentral lists this ribosomal RNA (497 nucleotides) under uncultured bacterium. RNAcentral describes it as "partial 16S ribosomal RNA". It matches the Rfam family "Bacterial small subunit ribosomal RNA", at positions 28 to 507 of the family's 1533-position model. The record is from RNAcentral.
GACGAACGCUGGCGGCGUGCCUAAUACAUGCAAGUUGAGCGAUGAAGAUUGGUGCUUGCACCAAUUUGAAGAGCAGCGAACGGGUGAGUAACGCGUGGGGAAUCUGCCUUUGAGCGGGGGACAACAUUUGGAAACGAAUGCUAAUACCGCAUAAUAACUUUAAACAUAAGUUUUAAGUUUGAAAGAUGCAAUUGCAUCACUCAAAGAUGAUCCCGCGUUGUAUUAGCUAGUUGGUGAGGUAAAGGCUCACCAAGGCGAUGAUACAUAGCCGACCUGAGAGGGUGAUCGGCCUCAUUGGGACUGAGACACGGCCCAAACUCCUACGGGAGGCAGCAGUAGGGAAUCUUCGGCAAUGGACGAAAGUCUGACCGAGCAACGCCGCGUGAGUGAAGAAGGUUUUCGGAUCGUAAAACUCUGUUGGUAGAGAAGAACGUUGGUGAGAGUGGAAAGCUCAUCAAGUGACGGUAACUACCCAGAAAGGGACGGCUAACUACGUG